UUUGGCGAGCCCGUGACAUCGUACCUUUUGUAUAAUGGGUCAGCGAGUUCGUCUGUCUAGCAAGCUUAAGCCGUAAGGCGGAGGCGCAGGGAAACCGAGUCUGAAUAGGGCGACUGAGUUAGACGGAUGAGACCCGAAAGCAAGUGAUCUAGCCAUGACCAGGUUGAAGGUGCGGUAACACGCACUGGAGGACCGAACCCACGCCUGUUGAAAAAGUCGGGGAUGAGUUGUGGCUAGGGGUGAAAGGCCAAUCAAACUUGCAGAUAGCUGGUUCUCUGCGAAAGCUAUUUAGGUAGCGCGUCAUGUAUCACCAUCGGGGGUAGAGCACUGGAUGGGCUAGGGGGCUUCACCGCUUACCAAACCUAACCAAACUCCGAAUACCGAUGAGUGCUGAGCAUGGCAGACACACGGCGGGUGCUAACGUCCGUCGUGAAGAGGGAUAAAAACCCUGACCUACAGCUAAGGCCCCCAAUUCAUGGCUAAGUUGGAAAGGAUGUGAGGUUCCCAAAACAAUCAGGAUGUUGGCUUAGAAGCAGCCAUCAUUUAAAGAAAGCGUAACAGCUCACUGAUCUAAAUAAGGAACUUUGCGCCGAAGAUGUAACGGGGAUUAAGCCAUGAGCCGAAGCUUAGGAUUCACCGCAAGGUGAAUGGUAGCAGAGUGUUCCGUAUGCCUGCGAAGGGUGAGCGUGAGCGAGCCUGGAGGUAUCGGAAGUAAGAAUGCUGACAUGAGUAGCGAUAAAGAGGGUGAGAGACCCUCUCGCCGUAAGUCCAAGGGUUCCUGCGUCAAGUUAAUCUGCGCAGGGUUAGCCGGCCCCUAAGGCCAGGCCGAAAGGCGUAGCCGAUGGGAAUGCGGUAAAUAUUCCGCAGCCUGUGGGAAGUGACGGAUCAAGUAACUUGUUCGACCUUACUGGAUUGGUCGGGCCGGGAAUUGGUCCCAGGAAAUAGCUCCCACUUAUAGCCCGUACCCCAAACCGACACAGGUGGACUGGCAGAGUAUGCUAAGGCGCUUGAGAGAACUGUGUUGAAGGAACUAGGCAAAUUGCCCUCGUAACUUCGGAAGAAGAGGGCCCGGUCUCUACGCAAGUAUUGGCCGGGGGCACAUAGCAGGGGGUGGCGACUGUUUACUAAAAACACAGGGCGCUGCGAAAUCCAAAGAUGACGUAUAGCGUCUGACGCCUGCCCGGUGCUGGAAGGUUAAGAGGAGAUGUGAAAGCGUUGAAUCGAAGCCCCAGUAAACGGCGGCCGUAACUAUAACGGUCCUAAGGUAGCGAAAUUCCUUGUCGGGUAAGUUCCGACCUGCACGAAUGGCGUAACGACUUCCCCGCUGUCUCCAGCAUAGGCUCAGCGAAAUUGAAUUCCCCGUGAAGAUGCGGGGUUCCCGCGGUCAGACGGAAAGACCCCGUGCACCUUUACUGCAACUUUACACUGGCAUUAGGAAUGGGAUGUGUAGGAUAGGUGGUAGGCAUUGAAGCGGAGGCGCUAGCUUUCGUGGAGCCGCCCUUGAAAUACCACCCUUCU
This 1518-nucleotide ribosomal RNA is filed under the name soil metagenome. RNAcentral's name for it is "bacterial LSU rRNA". It matches the Rfam family "Bacterial large subunit ribosomal RNA", at positions 575 to 2209 of the family's 2925-position model. The record is from RNAcentral.